Molecule: ribosomal RNA, 496 nt
Filed under: uncultured bacterium
Lineage: Bacteria
Description: partial 16S ribosomal RNA
Rfam family: Bacterial small subunit ribosomal RNA
Source: RNAcentral
AUUGAACGCUGGCGGCGUGCCUAACACAUGCAAGUCGCACGCGAAAGGGGGCAACCCCACGUAGAGUGGCGGACGGGUGAGCAACGCGUAGGAAUCUACCUAGUAGUGGGGGACAACCCGGCGUAAGCCGGGCUAAUACCGCAGACGACCUAAGGGUGAAAGCAGGGGACCGCAAGACCUUGAGCUUUUAGAUGAGCCUGCGUCCGAUUAGCUAGUUGGUGGGGUAACGGCUCACCAAGGCGACGAUCGGUAACUGGCUUGAGAGAACGACCAGUCACAUUGGGACUGAGACACGGACCAAACUCCUACGGGAGGCAGCAGUGGGGAAUAUUGGACAAUGGGGGCAACCCUGAUCCAGCGAAGCAGCGUGUGUGAAGAAGGCCUUCGGGUUGUAAAGCACUUUCGGCAGGGACAAACAAGACGGAGCUAACAUCUCCGUUCCUGAUGGUACCUGAAGAAGAAGCACCGGCUAACUCUGUGCCAGCCGUCGCGGUAA